GGAUGGGUGGCCGAGCGGUUUAAGGCACCGGUCUUGAAAACCGGCAGGGGUUUACGCCUCUCGUGGGUUCGAAUCCCACCCCAUCCGCCA
Molecule: transfer RNA, 90 nt
Filed under: Alphaproteobacteria bacterium
Lineage: Bacteria; Pseudomonadati; Pseudomonadota; Alphaproteobacteria
Also listed under: 1 other name
Description: tRNA-Ser
Rfam family: tRNA
About the family: Transfer RNA (tRNA) molecules are approximately 80 nucleotides in length. Their secondary structure includes four short double-helical elements and three loops (D, anti-codon, and T loops).
Source: RNAcentral